AUGCCCUAGUAACGGCGAGUGAAGCGGCAACAGCUCAAAUUUGAAAUCUGGCGUCUUCGGCGUCCGAGUUGUAAUUUGCAGAGGGCGCUUUGGCAUUGGCAGCGGUCCAAGUUCCUUGGAACAGGACGUCACAGAGGGUGAGAAUCCCGUACGUGGUCGCUAGCCUUUACCGUGUAAAGCCCCUUCGACGAGUCGAGUUGUUUGGGAAUGCAGCUCUAAAUGGGAGGUAAAUUUCUUCUAAAGCUAAAUACUGGCCAGAGACCGAUAGCGCACAAGUAGAGUGAUCGAAAGAUGAAAAGCACUUUGGAAAGAGAGUUAAAAAGCACGUGAAAUUGUUGAAAGGGAAGCGCUUGCAGCCAGACUUGCCUGUAGUUGCUCAUCCGGGUUUUUACCCGGUGCACUCUUCUAUAGGCAGGCCAGCAUCAGUUUGGGCGGUUGGAUAAAGGUCUCUGUCAUGUACCUCUCUUCGGGGAGAACUUAUAGGGGAGACGACAUGCAACCAGCCUGGACUGAGGUCCGCGCAUCUGCUAGGAUGCUGGCGUAAUGGCUGUAAGCGGCCCGUCUUGAAACACGGACCAAGGAGUCUAACAUCUAUGCGAGUGUUUGGGUGUCAAGCCCGAGCGCGUAAUGAAAGUGAACGGAGGUGGGAACCUUUCGGGGUGCACCAUCGACCGAUCCUGAUGUCUUCGGAUGGAUUUGAGUAAGAGCAUAGCUGUUGGGACCCGAAAGAUGGUGAACUAUGCUUGAAUAGGGUGAAGCCAGAGGAAACUCUGGUGGAGGCUCGCAGCGGUUCUGACGUGCAAAUC
This 806-nucleotide ribosomal RNA is filed under the name Didymella glomerata. RNAcentral describes it as "eukaryotic LSU rRNA". It matches the Rfam family "Eukaryotic large subunit ribosomal RNA", at positions 73 to 899 of the family's 3401-position model. Lineage: Eukaryota; Fungi; Ascomycota; Dothideomycetes; Pleosporales; Didymellaceae. The record is from RNAcentral.